UCCAGUUCAUUCCCAUCUGAUGGGCCAUGUGGCACAUCAGUCAGAGAGUCCAGGGAGGUGUUGAGGAGAAUUAGAAAACAAGGUUUUUUCUUCACCAUAAUUGCAAUCAAUAAUUGAUAAACCAACUAAAUGAGUAUAAAUGAUGUGCAAAAAACAAUGUAAGAAAAACAAUCACUGCUACAUUGGGACACAUUCCCACACCUGAAGGACCAUUUUGACAUUUGGUCAUGAACUAUGUUGACAUGUUGUGCAUUCAUGCCAAGGUUUGAAAUUCAAUCAGAGAUAAGUUCAGACAAUGGGCCAGCGUAUAUUCAGCAAACACUGUUUCAAGCACCAAAUAGAACUGGUUAGAUGCAAUUAUUAUCUUUAUAACUUUUUACACACACACACACACACACACACACACACACACACACACACACACACACACACACACACACACACACACACACACACACACACACACAUACACACACACACACA
This is a long non-coding RNA of Gadus macrocephalus (Pacific cod), 483 nucleotides long. RefSeq lists it as uncharacterized. The transcript is spliced from 2 exons. Lineage: Eukaryota; Metazoa; Chordata; Actinopteri; Gadiformes; Gadidae. The record is from RefSeq and is a predicted model, not a curated record.